Poecilia reticulata (guppy) is the source of this 1617-nucleotide long non-coding RNA. RefSeq lists it as uncharacterized. Lineage: Eukaryota; Metazoa; Chordata; Actinopteri; Cyprinodontiformes; Poeciliidae. The record is from RefSeq and is a predicted model, not a curated record.
GCCUGAAACAUUAAUUUGAUUUCUCUUUGAUCCCGGAAAAUCAAAGAAAACUUUUCAAAUGUAUUUUUUGCACAAAUAUCAAAUAAGAUUAAAAGUAUUAGUUGUAAGUAUUGUGUCACUUUGAGCUCUCCAUAGUUGUUGAGACUGUUUACCUUGUGGCUACUGGAUAUGUUUGCGUUUUUCAAGACUUAAAGCACUGGAAUGCUCAGAGAAAGUCUGAAGCCGUUUUCACUGUUAUUUUCCUGCAGCCCUUAUUCUGAAACACCUAAGUUUGAGCUGCAAGAAUGAGCUGGACAGUGUCACAAGUGAUGCGAUGUCUGGAUUUUCCUCCUUCACCUGUUACCCCUGCAACCUGACCUCAGAUAUGUGGUCCCUCUUGACCCUCAAUCAGACUCGGCGAAUGUGUGUUGAUGCUGAGGCUGGUUCUGGCGGAGCAGGUAGAAAUGAAAGGUUUGUUUGCACUGUCACAUGUUUGCUCAGGAUGUGGAUUGUAUAUCAUAUGUACAACAUAUAUGAUGAUUUAUGUAGUAUAUGAUUAUACUAAAAUUAGAUCAAUGUGAUUGCAUGAUUGGACUGGAUUGAAAUUAAAUAACUUUUGGAGCACUAUAUAAAUAAGCUGGUGUGAAUUGUAUACAUCAUUUAGAAUUGAUUAAACAAAAAGUAUUAGAAAAAAAUCCAGCCCCACUUUCUUAAUACAUGUAAAAUAUGUACUUCCCCAUCAAAACAACACUCAAACUUAUUUCAUAGAAAAUAAAAACUUUUAUUAAAGGUCCCUCAAUUUCCGUUAAGCAUACACUAUUAUGACCAAAGUGGUCACAAUUUUCUAGUAAUAAAAAGGCACAUGGUUUUCUAAGUUUUACAAUCUUGAACACACACACAUAUAAACACACACACUUCCUGAAUCUGUUAUUGUCCCCAGAGAAAGAAAUAGAACUUCAGAAUGUGAAACUGACAGUGUUGUAACAAAACACAGGAAAAAACUCAAUCCUCUGUAAAAGUAACUUCAAACAUGAUUUUCCUAUUGCUCAAAUUUUAUUGCAUGGGUGGAAAUAUAGUAAUGUUUUCUUAAAGUGCUUCAAACUUUCCUUGAGAAGAAUUGUGAUAGGAUAUAAAAAAAUAAUCUGCGCAACUUAAAACUAAAAACACACAUCCACUUAGUGAUUCUGUACAUUUCUAUGCUUUUUCCAUUUGUGUCUUUUAGUUGUCUAUGCUGUGUGAAGAUGUUUCCAGUAAGUUUAAGGAUUUAUGUCUGGACCUGCACAUCUUCUAAGGGAUCUACAAAAGUUAAAGCAUUGGAUUUAGUGGUAGAUUUUGUGUAAAUCCAGUUAGUGGUGCAUGUCAGAUUAGGUAAAAAGACUGAAAAGUCCCUUAUUUUAAUAAGCAUAAUCAGUAUUCUGAUGAGAUGUAAUGCCAUCAUUUCCUCUAUGAUGGAUUUCACAUUCACAGAUUAAGACACAGAAUGGCUUUGCUCUAAGGUACACUCAAACAUCCACAGAGCUCUCAGACAGUGCUUGGAGAAAUAUUUACGUGGCAGCAACAUCCAACGGCCUCUGCACACAGCCAUGGCACCAUAUUUCAUUUUUAACACACAAAAGGGCAUUGUUGCCUCUGUGUCCA